Non-coding RNA from Alligator mississippiensis (American alligator), 742 nucleotides. The record is from the annotation of a RefSeq genome assembly. NCBI's taxonomy places the organism in Eukaryota, Metazoa, Chordata, Crocodylia, Alligatoridae.
UCCAGCAGUGACCACCAACACACAAGAGCUUCCCUCAGCACCAGGGAAGAUGGGACUUGGGUUCCACCUGCUUGUCCUGGCCGCAGCUCUGCAAGGUGCCUGGUCCCAGGGGCAGCUGGUAGAGUCUGGAGGAGAUGUGAGGAAACCUGGAGACUCUCUGCGCCUCUCCUGCAAAGCCUCUGGGUUCACCUUCAGUAGCAGCUACAUGGCCUGGGUCCGCCAGGCUCCUGGGAAGGGGCUGGACUUGGUGGCUGAUAUUAAUGGUGCUGGAUCCAGCCAGAGGUACUCCCCGGCUGUUAAGGGGCAAUUCACCAUCUCCAGAGACAACUCCCAGAACAUGGUGUACCUGCAGAUGAGCAGCCUCAAACCUGAGGACACAGCCCUGUAUCAGGGGAAGCGCUGGGGUGGGACUGAGCUAUCUGAGGUGGUGGAGGCACCGUCUCUAACAGUACUCUCCAAAGCCACCUCAGCAUCAGCAGAGACACAUCCAGCAGUCAAAUGCACCUGCACCUGACCAGGGUUCAGCCUGGAGACACAGCCCAGUAUAACUGUGCUAAAAAUACAGAGUGAAGGAAAACCUAUGGGAGCCUGCACACAAACCAGCCCUGCCGGACCCACCUGCCUGUGUACGAGUUAGAGGAAGCAGCUUCCAAUGCCAUGCUCAGUGUGCUCGGUCAGACACAUCAAGUCUAUUAGAUCACAAGAACCAGCCAGGUGUAUCCUUGCUGCAGCACUGAUUAAC